AUUGAACGCUGGCGGCAGGCCUAACACAUGCAAGUCGAGCGGAUGAAGGGAGCUUGCUCCUGGAUUCAGCGGCGGACGGGUGAGUAAUGCCUAGGAAUCUGCCUGGUAGUGGGGGAUAACGUCCGGAAACGGGCGCUAAUACCGCAUACGUCCUGAGGGAGAAAGUGGGGGAUCUUCGGACCUCACGCUAUCAGAUGAGCCUAGGUCGGAUUAGCUAGUUGGUGGGGUAAAGGCCUACCAAGGCGACGAUCCGUAACUGGUCUGAGAGGAUGAUCAGUCACACUGGAACUGAGACACGGUCCAGACUCCUACGGGAGGCAGCAGUGGGGAAUAUUGGACAAUGGGCGAAAGCCUGAUCCAGCCAUGCCGUGUGUGUGAAGAAGGUCUUCGGAUUGUAAAGCACUUUAAGUCGGGAGGAAGGGCAGUAAGUUAAUACCUUGCUGUUUUGACGUUACCAACAGAAUAAGCACCGGCUAACUUCGUG
This 484-nucleotide ribosomal RNA is filed under the name uncultured bacterium. Its description in RNAcentral is "partial 16S ribosomal RNA". It matches the Rfam family "Bacterial small subunit ribosomal RNA", at positions 30 to 507 of the family's 1533-position model. The record is from RNAcentral.